Molecule: long non-coding RNA, 1139 nt
Filed under: Salmo salar (Atlantic salmon)
Lineage: Eukaryota; Metazoa; Chordata; Actinopteri; Salmoniformes; Salmonidae
Description: lncRNA (ENSSSAG00000086854.1)
Source: RNAcentral
UAAUGCAUGGAAUGGGAACGCACAUAACACACAGCAGUGUGAAAAACAGACGAGUCAAUAAACAGGAACAGUAUAUUAUUCAUGAAACAGUGACAUAUAUAAGACAGAACACAUCACAGACAGAUUCACAGAAAAGGGCAAUAAAAGUUGUAUGGUAUAUCCAUUCAUUUAUUUAUGUCAGGGAGUCCUGUUAUGCACAGUAGUGUAACAUUCUACUGCUCCUCCAUGACACACCCCAACAGAUCAUUCCUACUUCCUGAACACUGUUGCACGGUGGGCCGCAUAAUCUCAGAAAUGUAUUAAUAUAGAAGCUAUCAAACCUCUCUCAGCCUUCCUCUCCUCUCUAAGACUUCUUCUCAUCUCAGCCUUCCUCUCUUCUCAGCCUUCCUCUCUUCUCAGCCUUCAUCUCCUCUCAGCCUUCCUCUCUUCUCAGCCUUCCUCUCCUAUCAGCCUUCCUCUCUUCUCAGACUUCCUCUCCUCUCAGCCUUCCUCUCUUCUCAGACUUCCUCUCCUCUCAGCCUUCCUCUCUUCUCAGCCUUCCUCUCCUAUCAGCCUUCCUCUCCUCUCAGUCUUCCUCUCUUCUCAGACUUCCUCUCCUCUCAGACUUCCUCUCCUCUCAGUCUUCCUCUCUUCUCAGACUUCCUCUCCUCUCAGACUUCCUCUCCUCUCAGCCUUCCUCUCCUCUCAGACUUCCUCUCCUAUCAGCCUUCCUCUCUAGAUCUCUCAUGUACUCUUCUCCAUUCAGACCACGUUCCCAACCGACUGGCAGUCAGAGGAGCUGCGGCAGAAGCUGGCAUCCUCACGCUCCAGACUACAGCUGUGGGCAGGCCGGGAGUCUUUGGGGGACGGCUUCAGUGUGCAGCGGAUGCAGAAAGCGUAGAAGAAGGCCACCAGGAGCAGGAAGCAGACCACGCAGAAGAUGAUGACAAUCAGGAUGGUGUGUACCUGGAUGUGCUCCUCCUCCAUCCAGGGGUAAGGGGUCGGGAUCACGGGCAUGACCAGGGUCAAGACGCGAUUAGAAGUCAUGGCAGCUGACAGAGGGUCGCUGGAGGUAAGGUAUGGGGCCGCUGUCAUGGCUGACGGGUUGGUUUGCUGUCUUGGCUGUCAGAGUUGCAGUGUCAAUGAUAAUGCAGCCACUG